RNAcentral lists this ribosomal RNA (625 nucleotides) under uncultured bacterium. RNAcentral describes it as "bacterial SSU rRNA". It matches the Rfam family "Bacterial small subunit ribosomal RNA", at positions 338 to 1416 of the family's 1533-position model. The record is from RNAcentral.
CCUACGGGAGGCAGCAGUAGGGAAUAUUGGGCAAUGGAGGCAACUCUGACCCAGCCAUGCCGCGUGCAGGAAGAAGGCGUUAUGCGUUGUAAACUGCUUUUAUAUAGGAAGAAAUAGACCUUGCGAGGUAAGUUGACGGUACUAUAUGAAUAAGCACCGGCUAACUCCGUGCCAGCAGCCGCGGUAAUACGGAGGGUGCAAGCGUUGUCCGGAUUUAUUGGGUUUAAAGGGUGCGUAGGCGGUUUAUUAAGUCAGUGGUGAAAGACGGUCGCUCAACGAUUGCAGUGCCAUUGAUACUGGUAGACUUGAGUGGGAUUGAGGUAGCUGGAAUGGAUAGUGUAGCGGUGAAAUGCAUAGAUAUUAUCCAGAACACCAAUUGCGUAGGCAAGUUACUAAGUCUCAACUGACGCUGAGGCACGAAAGUGUGGGUAUCAAACAGGAUUAGAUACCCUGGUAGUCCACACUGUAAACGAUGAUAACUAACUGUUGGCUUUCGGGUCAGUGGUACAGAGAAAUCGUUAAGUUAUCCACCUGGGAGGUACGCCGGCGACGGUAGGUAACGUUAAAGGUAAGUUAGUACGGCGUGAGACGUAGACCGACGGACGACCGACGAGGGAGGUUAGGG